Molecule: ribosomal RNA, 495 nt
Filed under: Penicillium sp. 41m
Lineage: Eukaryota; Fungi; Ascomycota; Eurotiomycetes; Eurotiales; Aspergillaceae
Description: partial 18S ribosomal RNA
Rfam family: 5.8S ribosomal RNA (bases 163-316)
Source: RNAcentral
UGAACCUGCGGAAGGAUCAUUACCGAGUGCGGGCCCCUCGGGGCCCAACCUCCCACCCGUGUUGCCCGAACCUAUGUUGCCUCGGCGGGCCCCGCGCCCGCCGACGGCCCCCCUGAACGCUGUCUGAAGUUGCAGUCUGAGACCUAUAACGAAAUUAGUUAAAACUUUCAACAACGGAUCUCUUGGUUCCGGCAUCGAUGAAGAACGCAGCGAAAUGCGAUAACUAAUGUGAAUUGCAGAAUUCAGUGAAUCAUCGAGUCUUUGAACGCACAUUGCGCCCUCUGGUAUUCCGGAGGGCAUGCCUGUCCGAGCGUCAUUGCUGCCCUCAAGCCCGGCUUGUGUGUUGGGCCCCGUCCCCCCCGCCGGGGGGACGGGCCCGAAAGGCAGCGGCGGCACCGCGUCCGGUCCUCGAGCGUAUGGGGCUUCGUCACCCGCUCUAGUAGGCCCGGCCGGCGCCAGCCGACCCCCAACCUUUAAUUAUCUCAGGUUGACCUC